RNAcentral lists this transfer RNA (68 nucleotides) under Marmota monax (woodchuck). RNAcentral's name for it is "tRNA.Ala". Lineage: Eukaryota; Metazoa; Chordata; Mammalia; Rodentia; Sciuridae. The record is from RNAcentral.
GGAUUGUGGCUCAGUGGUAGAGAGCUUGCCUUGCAUGUGUGAAGCCCUGGGUUCCAUCCUCAGCACCA